This 589-nucleotide long non-coding RNA is filed under the name Rattus norvegicus (Norway rat). RNAcentral's name for it is "long non-coding RNA NONRATT012372". Lineage: Eukaryota; Metazoa; Chordata; Mammalia; Rodentia; Muridae. The record is from RNAcentral.
AAACCUCAGCCUCUCACGGUAGCUGCUCUCUUCAUUUGGAUGCUGGGAGGUUGUUGCUGCUGUUGUUGUUGUUAUUUCUGUUGAUAUUUCUGUUGUUGUUUUUGUUGUUGUUGCUGUUGUUGUUAUUUCUGUUGUUGUUUUUGUUGUUGUUGCUGUUGUUGUUAUUUCUGUUGUUGUUUUUGUUGUUGCUGCUGUUUGUUGCUGUUGUUAUUUCUGUUGUUGUUGUUGUUGCUGCUGUUGUUUAGACAGGCCCUCACUAUGUAACCCUCCCUGGAGCAAACCUUGCUAUGUAAACCAAACCAGCUUUGAACUCAAAGAGAUGUAACUUCCUCAAAAGCGCUGGGUCUAAAGCCCUGUACUCUUUCUGCGUUUAGAGCAUAUGGCUGUUUUCUUAGGCCUUGCGUCAUGGCUGUGUGCAACAUACUAUGUAUGUCACCCUGAGUAAACCAACCAUUGGAUCACUGAAAGCACAGCGAAAGAUUCACGGGAAGAAACAGUGCAUUGUAAAAUGCCACAAAUUUCAAAACUCAAGCAAAGCACAGGGAAGAGUCAAGCUCCCAGUAAAAGACGAAAAAAUUAAAAAUAAAAA